GUGUCAGCCGCCGCGGUAAUACAGAGGGUGCAAGCGUUAAUCGGAAUUACUGGGCGUAAAGGGUGCGUAGGUGGUUUGUUAAGUCAGGCGUGAAAUCCCUGGGCUCAACCUGGGAACUGCGUUUGAUACUGGCAGACUCGAGUCUGGUAGAGGGUAGUGGAAUUCCGCAUGUAGCGGUGAAAUGCGUAGAUAUGCGGAGGAACAUCAGUGGCGAAGGCGGCUACCUGGACCAAGACUGACACUGAGGCACGAAAGCGUGGGGAUCAAACAGGAUUAGAAACCCUAGUAGUCC
Molecule: ribosomal RNA, 292 nt
Filed under: uncultured bacterium
Lineage: Bacteria
Description: partial 16S ribosomal RNA
Rfam family: Bacterial small subunit ribosomal RNA
Source: RNAcentral